This 1772-nucleotide ribosomal RNA is filed under the name uncultured eukaryote. RNAcentral's name for it is "SSU rRNA". It matches the Rfam family "Eukaryotic small subunit ribosomal RNA". The record is from RNAcentral.
UACCUGGUUGAUCCUGCCAGUAGUUAUAUGCUUGUCUCAAAGAUUAAGCCAUGCAUGUCUAAGUAAAAAUAUCUUACCUUGAAACUGCGAACGGCUCAUUAUAUCAGUUAUAGUUUAUUUGAUAGUCCCUUACUACUUGGAACCUGUAGUAAUUCUAGAGCUAAUACAUGCGUCAAUACUCUUUUAGGGUAGUGUUUAUUAGAUAGAAACCAACCCCUUUGGGGUGAUGCGGUGAUUCAUAAUAAGCUUGCGGAUCGCAUGCUUUUGGCGGCAAUGGAUCAUUCAAGUUUCUGCCCUAUCAGCUUUGGACGGUAGGGCUUUGGCCUACCAUGGCUUUAACGGGUAACGGGAAAUUAGGGUUUGAUUCUGGAGAGGGAGCCUGAGAGACAGCUACCACAUCCAAGGAAGGCAGCAGGCGCGUAAAUUACCCAAUCCUGACACAGGGAGGUAGUUCUUAGGUCUGGCAAUUGGAAUGAGAACAAUUUAAACCCCUUAUCGAGUAUCAAUUGGAGGGCAAGUCUGGUGCCAGCAGCCGCGGUAAUUCCAGCUCCAAUAGCGUAUAUUAAAGUUGUUGCAGUAAAAAAGCCUGUAGUUGGAUUUGUGGUGUGUCCAGUCGGCCUUUGCUCUUUGAGUGAUAGGGUUGUUACUGGUCUGCCAUGUUUGGGUGGAAUCUGUGUGGCAUUAAGUUGUUGUGCAGGGGAUACCCAUCGUUUACUGUGAAAAAGUUAGAGUGUUCAAAGCAGGCUUAUGCCUCUGAAUAUAUUAGCAUGGAAUAAUGAUACAGGACCUUGGUACUAUUUUGUUGGUUUGCGCUCUGAGGUAAUGAUUAAGAGGGACAGUUGGGGGUAUUUGUAUUCCAUUGUCAGAGGUGAAAUUCCUGGAUUUUUGGAAGACAAACUACUGUGAAAGCAUUUACCAAGGAUGUUUUCAUUAAUCAAGAACGAAAGUUAGGGGAUCGAAGAUGAUUAAAUACUAUCGUAGUCUUAACCAUAAACUAUGCUGACAAGGGAUUGGCGGAGUUUCGUUUCGUCUCCGUCAGCACCUUGUGAGAAAUCAUAAGUCUUUUGGGUUCCGGGGGGAGUAUGGUUGCAAGGCUGAAAUUUAAAGAAGUUGACGGAAGGGCACCACCAGGAGUGGAGCUGCGGCUUAAUUUGACUCAACACGGGAAAACUUACCAGGUUUAGACAUAGUGAGGAUUGACAGAUUGAUAGAUUGAGAGCUCUUUCUUGAUUCUAUGGGUUGUGGUGCAUGGCUGUUCUUAGUUGGUGGAGUGAUUUGUCUGGUUAAUUCUGUUAACGAACGAGACCCCUGCCUGCUAAAUAGCACGUGUAGUGUUUAUCACUGCAUUUUUGCUUCUUAGAGGGAUGUGUGUUCUAUUAGACGCAGGAAGAUAGGGGCAAUAACAGGUAUGUGAUGCCCUUAGAUGUUCUAGGCCGCACGCGCGCUACAAUGAUGCAUUCAACGAGUUCUUACCUUGGCCAAGAGGCCUGGUCAAUCUUUUGAACUUGCAUCGUGAUAGGGAUAGAUUAUUGCAAUUACUAAUCUUGAACAAGGAAUUCCUAGUAAACACAGAUCAUCAAUCUGCAUUGAUUACAUCCCUGUCCUUUGUACACACCGCCUGUCGCACCUACCAAUUGAAUGGCCCGGUGAAGCCUCGGGAUUGUGGUUAGUUUCCUUCCUUGGAAGUUAGUCGCAAGAACUGUCUAAACCUUAUCAUUUAGAGGAAGGUGAAGUCAUAACAAGGUUUCCGUAGGUGAACCUGCAGAAGGAUC